Spea bombifrons (plains spadefoot toad) is the source of this 314-nucleotide long non-coding RNA. RefSeq lists it as uncharacterized. The transcript has 3 exons. NCBI's taxonomy places the organism in Eukaryota, Metazoa, Chordata, Amphibia, Anura, Pelobatidae. The record is from RefSeq and is a predicted model, not a curated record.
AUCACUCAACCAAUUUAUAUUGGUCCAGGGCAAGGUACAGCGCUACCAAGGACAAUACAGAGGCAAGGUGGAGUCUGGGACGUUCUGCGCUGGCUUGUUCUUUUGAUCAUGGUUUUGUGUCUUCUUUUUUUCUGUUACAACGAAAGACUUUUAGCACUCUGUGGAACUAUGAUCUACCAAGCCAUGUGUUACCAAGUGCCAGAAGCAAGGGGGUAGAAGAAAAAAAGCGUGCAUCAGAUCCACUGUCAUUUUUAAUUAUGUUAAAAAAUGUUAAUUACCACUGACUAUUAAAAACAUAUGUAUAUCAUUAAAUC